Molecule: ribosomal RNA, 389 nt
Filed under: uncultured bacterium
Lineage: Bacteria
Description: bacterial SSU rRNA
Rfam family: Bacterial small subunit ribosomal RNA
Source: RNAcentral
GACGAACGCUGGCGGCGUGCUUAACACAUGCAAGUCGAGCGGUAAGGCCCUUUCGGGGGUACACGAGCGGCGAACGGGUGAGUAACACGUGGGUGACCUGCCCUCAGCUCUGGGAUAAGCCUGGGAAACUGGGUCUAAUACUGGAUAUGACUCCACGGUGCAUGUCGUGGGGUGGAAAGCCUUGUGCGGCUGAGGAUGGGCCCGCGGCCUAUCAGCUUGUUGGUGGGGUGANGGCCUACCAAGGCGACGACGGGUAGCCGGCCUGAGAGGGCGACCGGCCACACUGGGACUGAGACACGGCCCAGACUCCGUACGGGAGGCAGCAGUGGGGAAUCUUGCGCAAUGGGCGAAAGCCUGACGCAGCGACGCCGCGUGAGGGAUGACGGCCU